CCCCUUCAAAAGUGCAGGGCAAAGGCUUAUAUGUGGUGGGCCGGCUUGCCGGCUAUGGCGAUAAACGCCGCUCGGAAUAGGCGUAAUGGACCCGGGGGCAGUACCCGGCGCCUCCACCAUGAAGCCAGCCUGCCGCCCCAGCCGGGGGCGGGGAACCACGCUGGCUUGAUGAUGGGGGCGAAUCAGGCUUGACAUGCGCAAUAAAGGACCGGUUUUUGCCCGGCAUGAUACCGCCGUUAUCGGGUCAAAUCACAAGUGCGAACGAUAACUCCGUAGCACUCGCUGCCUAAUUAGGUAAGCGCGGCUCGGGGGAGCGCCGGGCAACAGAAGCUCCCCCACU
Molecule: transfer-messenger RNA, 340 nt
Filed under: Ferrovibrio sp.
Lineage: Bacteria; Pseudomonadati; Pseudomonadota; Alphaproteobacteria; Rhodospirillales; Rhodospirillaceae
Rfam family: Alphaproteobacteria transfer-messenger RNA
About the family: Bacterial tmRNA, also known as 10Sa RNA or SsrA, is named for its dual tRNA and mRNA-like properties. Its role is to liberate the mRNA from a stalled ribosome.
Source: RNAcentral